UUGCACUUCUGCAGCAAAUAUAGUAAAAUUGGAAGAGUUCAGAGGGGAUUAGCAUGGUACUGAGAAAGGAUAACAUGAAAAUUUUGAAUCGUUCCAUAUUUUC
This is a small nuclear RNA of Sorex araneus (European shrew), 103 nucleotides long. Lineage: Eukaryota; Metazoa; Chordata; Mammalia; Eulipotyphla; Soricidae. The record is from Ensembl.